Molecule: transfer RNA, 72 nt
Filed under: Sphaerodactylus townsendi
Lineage: Eukaryota; Metazoa; Chordata; Lepidosauria; Squamata; Sphaerodactylidae
Description: tRNA-Ala
Rfam family: tRNA
About the family: Transfer RNA (tRNA) molecules are approximately 80 nucleotides in length. Their secondary structure includes four short double-helical elements and three loops (D, anti-codon, and T loops). Further hydrogen bonds mediate the characteristic L-shaped molecular structure. tRNAs have two regions of fundamental functional importance: the anti-codon, which is responsible for specific mRNA codon recognition, and the 3' end, to which the tRNAs corresponding amino acid is attached (by aminoacyl-tRNA synthetases). tRNAs cope with the degeneracy of the genetic code in two manners: having more than one tRNA (with a specific anti-codon) for a particular amino acid; and 'wobble' base-pairing, i.e. permitting non-standard base-pairing at the 3rd anti-codon position.
Source: RNAcentral
GGAGCGGUGGCUCAGUGGUAGAGCAUCCAUUUUGCAUGCAGAAGGGCCAAUGUUCAAUUCUUGGCAGCUCUA